UAGGGAAUCUUUGGCAAUGGACGGAAGUCUGACCGAGCAACGCCGCGUGAGUGAAGAAGGUUUUCGGAUCGUAAAGCUCUGUUGUAAGAGAAGAACGAGUGUGAGAGUGGAAAGUUCACACUGUGACGGUAUCUUACCAGAAAGGGACGGCUAACUACGUGCCAGCAGCCGCGGUAAUACGUAGGUCCCGAGCGUUGUCCGGAUUUAUUGGGCGUAAAGCGAGCGCAGGCGGUUAGAUAAGUCUGAAGUUAAAGGCUGUGGCUUAACCAUAGUACGCUUUGGAAACUGUUUAACUUGAGUGCAAGAGGGGAGAGUGGAAUUCCAUGUGUAGCGGUGAAAUGCGUAGAUAUAUGGAGGAACACCGGUGGCGAAAGCGGCUCUCUGGCUUGUAACUGACGCUGAGGCUCGAAAGCGUGGGGAGCAAACAGGAUUAGAUACCCUGGUAGUCCACGCCGUAAACGAUGAGUGCUAGGUGUUAGACCCUUUCCGGGGUUUAGUGCCGUAGCUAACGCAUUAAGCACUCCGCCUGGGGAGUACGACCGCAAGGUUG
This 550-nucleotide ribosomal RNA is filed under the name uncultured bacterium. RNAcentral describes it as "bacterial SSU rRNA". It matches the Rfam family "Bacterial small subunit ribosomal RNA", at positions 355 to 896 of the family's 1533-position model. The record is from RNAcentral.